UAGCAUAUGCUUGUCUCAAAGAUUAAGCCAUGCAUGUCCAAGUAUAAACACGUUUAUACAGCGAAACUGCGUACAGCUCAUUAAAUCAGUUAUAAUUUAUUUGAUGGUUUCCUUCUUUGUGGCUUUUGCUGCAAAAAAGACUAUAUGGAUACCCGUAGUAAUUCUAGAGCUAAUACAUGCGUCGAGUUCUGAAGGGGCUUGCCCUGGAGGAAUGUAUUUAUUAGAUACCAACCAAAGAAGACUUUUUUUUGGUGAAUCAUAGUAACUGUGCAGAU
Molecule: ribosomal RNA, 275 nt
Filed under: uncultured eukaryote
Lineage: Eukaryota
Description: partial 18S ribosomal RNA
Rfam family: Eukaryotic small subunit ribosomal RNA
Source: RNAcentral